AUGCAGCGAAAGCUAUGCCCAUAGUGGAUAAAAUUUUAGCAAAAUGAAAUAGAAAAGCAGGAAGCAAAACAAGAUUUUUUUACGAAAGCUGGUUUCCCAGCCAUCCGAUGAACCUUUUCUUUCUUACAAUAGAAAAGGAUUUUAUAGCAUCAAUGCCAUGGUGGUGUGCGAUCACAAAUUACGAAUAAGAAGCAUUGACGCUAGGUAUCCUGGGUGCAAUCACGACGCUCAUGCAUGGGGAUUGAGCAAGCUGAGGUGCUAUAUGGAACGACGAUAUCGUGAAGGUGAAAGGAACGCAUGGCUGUUAGGUAUUUAGGUAUAUAUGCAGCCGACAAAGUAAUUAUAACAUAAAGCACUCCAAAACUAGAAAUAAUAUAGAGCGAACGAUCGGUGUUUUAAAGAACCGCUUUCGAUGUUUGUUGGGAGCUCGAGAGCUGCGAGUCAAAUUAUACAUAUAUGUUGCUUGUGCACUACACAAUAUUUGCAUUUUCUACAAAGUGGAAGAUUUGAACCCGAUAGAAUUUGAUAAUGAAAGCCGUCAAGAGGAAGAGGAAGAGGAACAAACCAAUGACCCUGAAUUUACUUCAACAGCAAAUCGUAUUCGUGACAACAUACUUUCUUCUUUUUCAAAUGUAUAAAAUUUUAUUUCAAUAUUUCAUGUUUUUCUUUAAAUUCAAAAUUUAUCUAUGUUAAUCUGAUAUAUAAAAAUAAGUCGGGUUUUCCUUCCUGACGCUGCAACUCCAGAACGCAUUAACCGAUUUCCACGGUUUUGCAUUCGUUGGAAAGUUCUCGGGCUCCGUGAGGUUUAUUGC
Molecule: long non-coding RNA, 812 nt
Organism: Bactrocera neohumeralis
Lineage: Eukaryota; Metazoa; Arthropoda; Insecta; Diptera; Tephritidae
Exons: 3
Source: RefSeq, a predicted model, not a curated record